This 327-nucleotide ribosomal RNA is filed under the name uncultured eukaryote. Its description in RNAcentral is "partial 18S ribosomal RNA". It matches the Rfam family "Eukaryotic small subunit ribosomal RNA", at positions 1470 to 1796 of the family's 1831-position model. The record is from RNAcentral.
CCCUUAGAUGUUCUGGGCCGCACACGCGCUACACUGAAGGAGGCAGCGUGUACUCCUGGAUCGAAAGAUUUGGGUAACCCGCGAAUCUCCUUCGUGCUAGGGAUUGAGGUUUGCAAUUAUCCUUCAUGAACGAGGAAUUCCCAGUAAGUGCAAGUCAUAAGCUUGCGCUGACUACGUCCCUGCCCUUUGUACACACCGCCCGUCGCUACUACCGAUUGAAUGAUUUAGUGAGGACUUCGGACUGGGACCGAUGCGGCUUUCGGGCUGCGUCGGUAUUCUGGAAAGAUGUCCAAACUGUAUCAUUUAGAGGAAGUAAAAUUCGUAACA